CAGUAGCCGCGGUAACACGUAGGUGGCAAGCGUUGUCCGGAAUUAUUGGGCGUCAAGGGCUCGCAGGCGGUUUCUUAAGUCUGAUGUGAAAGCCCCCGGCUCAACCGGGGAGGGUCAUUGGAAACUGGGAAACUUGAGUGCAGAAGAGGAGAGUGGAAUUCCACGUGUAGCGGUGAAAUGCGUAGAGAUGUGGAGGAACACCAGUGGCGAAGGCGACUCUCUGGUCUGUAACUGACGCUGAGGAGCGAAAGCGUGGGGAGCGAACAGGAUUAGAUACCCCCGUAGUCCCUGUCUCUUAUAC
RNAcentral lists this ribosomal RNA (301 nucleotides) under uncultured bacterium. RNAcentral's name for it is "partial 16S ribosomal RNA". It matches the Rfam family "Bacterial small subunit ribosomal RNA", at positions 509 to 807 of the family's 1533-position model. The record is from RNAcentral.